Non-coding RNA from Procambarus clarkii (red swamp crayfish), 257 nucleotides. NCBI's taxonomy places the organism in Eukaryota, Metazoa, Arthropoda, Malacostraca, Decapoda, Cambaridae. The record is from RefSeq and is a predicted model, not a curated record.
UCGUUGAAGGCUCAGCUGCUCAGUAACGUCGCUGCCGCCAACGCGACAACAUGUACCGCUGAUUUCCGACAUCAGCAACAUUGCUCCAGUUUGGAUCUGGCAACCGAGGUCCCCGUGGCCCGGAACCCUCGGCCUCCACCAGCACUGUUGUGGACCAGCAGACGACAUACAGGAGCAGCUCGCCAGCAACAUUCCCACUCAAAAUGCAGACGUCAAACAACAGCUCUGACCCACGGAGAGUGGAUAAGAUUGUUAGG